Molecule: long non-coding RNA, 2151 nt
Filed under: Canis lupus familiaris (dog)
Lineage: Eukaryota; Metazoa; Chordata; Mammalia; Carnivora; Canidae
Description: lncRNA (ENSCAFG00845008715.1)
Source: RNAcentral
UCCUUGACUGGCGGGGAGGGCCGGGCAGUGAGUGCAUCCCUCCGCUCGGGCUGCAGGGAGAUGGCUCAGCGACUUCUCCUGAGGAGGUUCCUGGCCUCCGUCAUCUCCAGGAAGCCCCCUCAGGGUCGAUGGGCACCUCUCACCUGCAGGGCCCUGCCGUGCAGCCCUGGUCACCUGACAGCAACACCCACCCAAGCCCGGUCAAUAUACACCACCAGAGUCUGCACAACGACCUUCAACAUCCAGGAUGGACCUGACUUUCAAGACCGAGUUGUCAACAGCGAAACACCAGUGGUUGUGGACUUCCAUGCACAGUGGUGUGGCCCGUGCAAGAUCCUGGGGCCCAGGUUAGAGAAGGUGGUGGCCAAGCAGCAUGGGAAAGUGGUGAUGGCCAAGGUGGAUAUUGAUGACCACACAGACCUCGCCCUGGAAUAUGAGGUGUCCGCUGUGCCCACUGUGCUGGCCAUCAAGAAUGGGGACGUGGUGGACAAAUUCGUGGGUAUCAAGGACGAGGACCAGCUGGAGGCCUUCCUGAAGAAGCUGAUUGGCUGACAAGCAGGGAAGAGGCCUGGCUGCCCUUGCCCACCAGGGCCCCUGCAGUUCGAGGAGGGGCCCCGUGAGAACUCUGAGCCCUUCCGUGUUGGCCCUUCCUGCCUCCUCCCUUUUGCCCGGCCCCCAUGGGCCCGUGCUUUGGAGACCAGGCCCCCAAACAUGGGUGCCCGGCUGACCUCCAGGGUGGCUACCCGGGGAAUGGUGCUGCCACUGACCUGGGGACAGCCAUCUCCUACCCACUGUCUUGUCUGCUCCCACUAGGGCUUGUCUCUGUCCUCCCAGGAUGCUGGAAAGAGCCCCAGGCCAGCCCACAGUGCUCCGUGCCGGGUGACAGCUCGGUCCACGUCGCCCUGGUCCCUUCUGAUCUGCACCCUGGUGCCUGGCCCAUCUGUCUCCUGCAUUUUUCUUUCCUGCUGCUGUUUUGUAAAAAGAAAGAAGGAAAAAGAAACCCAAACAAGGGAGAGUAAUAUAUAAUUCUCUCAUUUUUUGUAGGUCUGUAAUAAAGAACUUUAUGUGAUCCCUUCUACCUCCUGCUCUGAAGAACAGACCCUGGGCCCCACGCUAAAUUACCCUGUAGCCACCACCCCCCAGAGCCACGUCCCUUCCUUCUUCCCAGGUGCCAGGGCAGAGAACACACGGGCAGGGGGAGGGGGGUGUCCCCAGACCCCUGUCCCUGGGAAGCCUCACUGUGAACAACCUGGACCAAUAAAGCUAGGGUUUGCACUGUUGGCGGCUUCCGUUCUGUCUGGGCUCUGGAAGCAUGAGGGGCGACCCCUCCCCAGGCUGCUGGGCUGCUGGCCCUGCGUCCUCUGGCUCUGCCACCCUCUUGCCCUCGACCAGCCGCUCCUGUUACUGAUGCUGUUGUCACGGUCGCCGCUGUCCGGGCACCACCUUCAUGUGCAAGCAGGGCAAGAGGAUGCUUGUCCCCUUUAUGCAGAUAGGGACACUGAGGCUUGUGCAGUGCAGAGCCGGGGCUUGUACCCAGGUAUGGUUGCCUCUGAAGCCUGGGCUCCUCCAGCUGAUCCCUCUGGUACCUCUGGGGCUUCCUUCUCCACCAGGCAGUAGGCACACGGCCACUCCUGUGGGAGCCAGGCCCCCUAGGGAGCUGGGCUGUGUUUCCUGUGUGUGCCCUAGGAACCCUCAGCCUCGGAGCCAGGCUCUGUCCCACUUUGUUUCCAGCUCCCCUGGGGCCCAAGGAGGAAGAUACCAGGCCUGCCAGCCAAGAGAGCCUACCCCCAUCUCCCUCGUGGGGCCGAGGUGCCAGCUUCCUAGGGACCACAGGUGUUUGACAGCAGGGGUAUCCUGGCACCCUUGCCCUCAGCCUUGGGGUGCCGUGUCUACUCCCGGGUGCGUUGCCCUCAGUCACUCUCAUGUUCCUAUUAAAAGUGCCUGUGUCGGGAUCCCUGGGUGGCGCAGUGGUUUGGCGCCUCCCUUUGGCCCAGGGCGCGAUCCUGGAGACCUGGGAUUGAAUCCCACAUCGGGCUCCCGGUGCAUGGAGCCUGCUUCUCCCUCUGCCUGUGUCUCUGCCUCUCUCUCUCUCUCUCUCUGUGUGUGACUAUCAUAAAUAAAUAUACAAAAAAUAUUUAAAAAAAAAAAAAA